Non-coding RNA from Lolium perenne, 3284 nucleotides. Lineage: Eukaryota; Viridiplantae; Streptophyta; Magnoliopsida; Poales; Poaceae. The record is from RefSeq and is a predicted model, not a curated record.
CCAAGAACAAUCAGAACUUUUCCCUUCCAUCGCCCCAACCUGAUUUUCCUCUUUCCUUCAUGCGGAGCGAGUGUGAGCGGGCUAGGGUUCCACGGCGCCGCCAUGCCCCGUCCUCGUCCCCACCUCACCCCACCGUCAAAUCCCCACUCUGGUGCUACUCUCUACGCCUCCACGCAUCCUCGUCGGCGUUGCGACCAGGAUUCGUCCAUGGCGCCCAGGACAAGGCGCACACAUCUAAAUCAUCGAGGGGCACCAGCGUAUCAUAGAAGAUGCGCUGGAUUUGGUGGUGACAUGAUCUGGGAAUCAGGGAAGAGACCUAGCUCCACCUUCCGCUCCGCUCUCCGGCCGUCCGACAGCGGAUCCCCCUUUCACCGCCCCCAGUUUGCCGGCUGGCCCCGUGGCCCGGCUCGGCCCUCCGCCAGUCCGCCCCCCAACUCACCGGCAGCAGCUGAGAGGCCCCCCUCCCCCCUGCUCGACCCUCCUAUUCUUUAGAUCUCGCCGUCGCUCGGUCGCCGGGCAAGCCGCUCGCCGCCGCACGCCCGCAAAGCAGGCAGCAAGAUGAAGCCGCCAUGGUGCUUGCCGGCCAUCCCUGAUGCAGAAUAUCACUCCUCUUCCCACCCUACCAUCGCUGUCAAGAUUGACACUUCUAAACAUCAAGAGCUUCACUCCUACAGUCCUAUGGCAACACAUUGUAGCAGUGGCAACCACCACACUGUUCAGGUCAUGUCUUUUCAAGUCUAGAAGAAUAUCAUUACCAUAAUUUCAAUCUUUGGAGCGUCUGAAAGUUCUCGAGAUUUAUCUAUUUUCCUAUUAGUUUCCAUGAUCUGUUGUAAAAACACAAAAGGGAUAAUUCAUUGAGGAAUAUGAACUGCAAGUAUAUGCAUUUAGUACCUGCAGUACUUGAGACAAAGGAGAAAUUUAGCUUGCUUAGUAGGUGAGCUAUGCAGUUAUGUACUACCAACCAUUUGUUCUUCUUUUGAAGUUAACAUUCAGCUCAUACUUCUCUGGGUAUAUUUACAAUGCUCUUACAACUUCUCUGUUUUAGCUUCUGAAAAUACUAGAAUCUUUCCUUGUCAUUUGUGCACCAGAGAAGUAUGAAUACAAUCCAGGUUGUUUUUUCUUCGGUAGACAAUCUGGGAUGUUAACUUCAUAAACUUGAAUUGAGCAUGCAGAUGUUACCGUUAGCUUCUUAAAUACCAUUCUGAUGAUGUGUUAAUUAACUAGGAUCUGCAGCAAGUUUGCAUACCUCUGGUGUUAACUUUAGUGAUAGUUUCUGAAACUUGAGUGCAUAGUACAACUUAAUACCAACUACAUGUUGAUUUCAUAUAUGGUGUUUUUGCUGCACAUGGGUUAAACAAUUAGAGUCGACAUCAUUUUUUCCCCUUGUAGUCUUGAACUAGCAGGUUGUAAUAAACCAUGCUAUGUGUGGCCUUAUCAAGUUUUGAAGAAUAUCAUCACCAUGCUAUGUGUGGCCGAUAGCACUCGAUGCACCAGUUUUGUGCCGUCAGUUUGUCCAAUUUUUUUAAUCAUCUUUCAGGUUCUAUGUUUUUUCUUUAUUAGCUAAAUUACAAUGUAACUGCUAGCAUGAGUCAUAUAUGGGAGUGCAGUCCGAAAGUUAGAAGAUGACAUGGUCUGCAAUAAUGUUCAGAUUCUAAAUUUUAUAUCGCUAGAAAUCCGGAAGUAUUAUCCAUGUUAUGUGUUAUUUUUCCAGGCUUACUCUUGGUUGGUUUGUCGGUAGGGGAUUAUUGGUCAGGAGUGAGGUAUCCAUUGUUCAAGAGGUAACAAUUGAGAAUUCAUGGAUUAUGUAAUUUCGAAUCAUGAUUUUUUUGGAGCAAAAUGUCAAUUAUUAACCUGAUUUACUUACUGAGAAGUUCAAUGGCAGACAUCUUGGUGAAAAAAAUAUCAAUUAUUGAUACCUAAUAUUCAUGUAUCAAGGUUUCAGAUUUGGAGGUUCUCAUUUUGACGAGCUUCAUUAGCUAUAAAUUUUUCCCGAGAAGCUGACCUAUGAUAAUUACUAAGCAAUAUAAAUAAAAUUCAAGAGGGACAACAACACCGAGUGUUGGAGGGCGCAAUUAGAAGGUGGAGGUCGUAUGCAUGCAUUUUGAUACUACACUUCUGCAUUGUGCAUUGUCCACCUAUUGCUAUUUAUUUUAGUUUGGUGGAAGUUGCUAAAAAUAUUGAUGUUAUCCCCUGAUUGAAUUUGCGGAAGUUUUCAGCUGGCGUUAUAAUAUGAUUGAGCACUGACAGGAGACCUAAUAUCCACUUGAAAUGUAAAUAAUAUGAACUCAUUCUAGGAGCUAUCGUAUACACCUUAUAGGAAAAGGAUGCAAAGCUUUCGAUUUAGAAAAAAGACACCAAGCCGCUUCCAUGUUGAAACUUUUACAGCAUGUGAUGAAACUGCAGCUAGCCGCAAAAUAAUCACCAGGGUUUUUAGGGUAGAAAUCCUCUGUAGGAGAUAACUAAAACUGAACUUUGAAGGAUUGGACUGCUUCUAUCAAUACGUAUGAAAACAUUAUGUAAAUUUAUCAUUUAGACGUCUGAUACUUUCUUGACAUUGCUAAUACCUGUGGAAGAACAAAGCCCUAGAUCAUAGUGGAUAGAAGAGAUGUGUGGGUUUAGUUUAAUUAUUUCUCUUGGUUGGCAGUAUCUGCUCAUUCCUGGCAAGCAGCAAGUACUUGUCCUUCUUUGUUAGCUCUGUGGGUAUGAACCCGAGUGCGGCGGUGAGCACACGCCUACUAUUGGCACAGGCUCCAGGACGUGGAUGGAGUACUCUACAUGUUGGCGAGGGAGCUGUUCACCGUGUAGGGCAACAUGCCACGGUACUGGAGCUGAACUCUAGGGUCAGGAUCGUUGACAAUCCUCCAGACCGAACAUACUCCUUUUACAAGCACGUAGGUGCAUUUGGAAGAUCGAUUCGAGGGUAUGACAAGACUAGGGUGAUCAUGUCAUGGAACCAUCAUUGGGCGCACCGUUUUAUUCUCAUGGUUACGACUUCUACAAAUUGUAUUCCUGGGAGCACAUUAGGAAGAGCGGGCCGAACUUGCAAAAGGACCAAACUGUUGUAUGCAUUGCUGAAAAUUGUCUAUAUAGUUUUAUAUCCAGUACCUAUAUAAUAAUAUAAAUCUGGAUUGUGAGAUGUAAGCUAAUGUUAUUUCUCAACAUGUUAAGGCGACAAAUUGGGCAUGACACUAAAGUUAGUUGUCCAUGUAUCAACUAUGAUCCUUGAUCAUUUAAGAUUAAAUGCUUGGCCCCUGGUAUGCUUCCCAGGGCUUCUACAUAGUGAA